ACUUGCUCCAUGGUGGAUCUACUUGGCGGUUUGAGAUGAACAGGGCCAAGUCCCAAGAAGGGAAUAAUGUGCUAACAUCGUGGGAUCAUUUACUUUGGUGAGAGGGCAGCGAUGCUGGAGAAGGGUGGCGGCACAUGAAGAGUCGCAUGGAGGAGGAGGAGGGUCAAUGUUUUGAGGAGUCUAUGUGCGGAGAAGGAGCGACACUAGAGAGAUAGAUAGAGCAAAGAGACUGACAGAUAUACCUUGGACUAUAGGGAACACUUGCAAAAUAGGGGGUGAGUGUUAAGGUUCUUAUUGUGAUAUAUGUUGGGCUUAUUUUCUAUAAGGCUAAAAAUAUCCCUUAUUUUCAAAGAUGCCUGUUCAGAGGCUUAUCUUUGUAAAUUUUUAGAGGCAGGCUUUGCCUAUUUGACCUUUAUUUAGAUGC
This 424-nucleotide long non-coding RNA is filed under the name Sorghum bicolor (sorghum). RNAcentral's name for it is "long non-coding RNA (SBIC_LNC013177)". Lineage: Eukaryota; Viridiplantae; Streptophyta; Magnoliopsida; Poales; Poaceae. The record is from RNAcentral.